This 468-nucleotide ribosomal RNA is filed under the name uncultured bacterium. RNAcentral's name for it is "bacterial SSU rRNA". It matches the Rfam family "Bacterial small subunit ribosomal RNA", at positions 329 to 793 of the family's 1533-position model. The record is from RNAcentral.
GACCAGACUCCUACGGGAGGCAGCAGUGAGGAAUAUUGGUCAAUGGGCGCGAGCCUGAACCAGCCAAGUCGCGUGAGGGAGGACGGCCCUACGGGUUGUAAACCUCUUUUGCCGGGGAGCAACGGGCGUCACGUGUGGCGCCGCUGAGAGUACCCGGAGAAAAAGCAUCGGCUAACUCCGUGCCAGCAGCCGCGGUAAUACGGAGGAUGCGAGCGUUAUCCGGAUUUAUUGGGCUUAAAGGGUGCGUAGGCGGACUGUAAAGUCGGUGGAAAAAUGGGGGGGCCCAACCCCUGCCCGCCAUUGAAACUGGCGCUCUUGAGUGGAAGAGAAGUAUGCGGAAUGCGUGGUGUAGCGGUGAAAUGCAUAGAUAUCACGCAGAACCCCGAUUGCGAAGGCAGCAUGCCGGCUUCCGACUGACGCUGAAGCACGAAAGCGUGGGGAUCGAACAGGAUUAGAUACCCGAGUACG